AACGAACGCUGGCGGCAGGCUUAACACAUGCAAGUCGAACGGGUGUAGCAAUACAUCAGUGGCAGACGGGUGAGUAACACGUGGGAACCUUCCUAGAGGUACGUAACAACGCAGGGAAACUUGUGCUAAUACCGUAUACGCUCUUGCGAGGAAAGAUUUAUCGCCUUUAGACGGGCCCGCGUAGGAUUAGGUAGUUGGUGAGGUAACGGCUCACCAAGCCUACGAUCCUUAGCUGAUCUGAGAGGAUGAUCAGCCACACUGGGACUGAGACACGGCCCAGACUCCUACGGGAGGCAGCAGUGGGGAAUCUUGGACAAUGGGCGCAAGCCUGAUCCAGCCAUGCCGCGUGAGUGAAGAAGGCCUUCGGGUUGUAAAGCUCUUUUGUCAGGGACGAUAAUGACUGUACCGGGAGAAUAAGCCCCGGCUAACUUCGUGCCAGCCGCCGCCGUAA
Molecule: ribosomal RNA, 451 nt
Filed under: uncultured bacterium
Lineage: Bacteria
Description: partial 16S ribosomal RNA
Rfam family: Bacterial small subunit ribosomal RNA
Source: RNAcentral